AGCGGCGGACGGGUGAGUAAUGCUUAGGAAUCUGCCUAUUAGUGGGGGACAACAUUCCGAAAGGGAUGCUAAUACCGCAUACGUCCUACGGGAGAAAGCAGGGGAUCUUCGGACCUUGCGCUAAUAGAUGAGCCUAAGUCGGAUUAGCUAGUUGGUGGGGUAAAGGCCUACCAAGGCGACGAUUUGUAGCGGGUCUGAGAGGAUGAUCCGCCACACUGGGACUGAGACACGGCCCAGACUCCUACGGGAGGCAGCAGUGGGGAAUAUUGGACAAUGGGGGGAACCCUGAUCCAGCCAUGCCGCGUGUGUGAAGAAGGCCUUAUGGUUGUAAAGCACUUUAAGCGAGGAGGAGGCUACUGAGACUAAUACUCUUGGAUAGUGGACGUUACUCGCAGAAUAAGCACCGGCUAACUCUGUGCCAGCAGCCGCGGUAAUACAGAGGGUGCGAGCGUUAAUCGGAUUUACUGGGCGUAAAGCGUGCGUAGGCGGCUUUUUAAGUCAGAUGUGAAAUCCCCGAGCUUAACUUGGGAAUUGCAUUCGAUACUGGGAAGCUAGAGUAUGGGAGAGGAUGGUAGAAUUCCAGGUGUAGCGGUGAAAUGCGUAGAGAUCUGGGGGAAUACCGAUGGCGAAGGCAGCCAUCUGGCCUAAUACUGACGCUGAGGUACGAAAGCAUGGGGAGCAAACAGGAUUAGAUACCCUGGUAGUCCAUGCCGUAAACGAUGUCUACUAGC
RNAcentral lists this ribosomal RNA (731 nucleotides) under uncultured bacterium. RNAcentral describes it as "bacterial SSU rRNA". It matches the Rfam family "Bacterial small subunit ribosomal RNA", at positions 94 to 820 of the family's 1533-position model. The record is from RNAcentral.